This is a small nuclear RNA of Hyla sarda, 189 nucleotides long. RefSeq annotates it as U2 spliceosomal RNA. The record is from RefSeq and is a predicted model, not a curated record. The transcript has a single exon. Lineage: Eukaryota; Metazoa; Chordata; Amphibia; Anura; Hylidae.
AUCUCUUUUCGGCCUUUUGGCUAAGCUAAAGUGUAGGAUCUGUUCUUAUUAGUGUAAUAUCUGAUAUCUCCCCUAUCUGGGGACCAAAUAUUAAAUUGAUUUGUAAGAAUGGGGGCCGAUUUUGGAUCUUUCUUCCAUCGCCCUAUGCAUUGACCCGAUAUGACAGUAUUUUUGGGUACAGCAUUAUGG